UAGUCCACGCCGUAAGCGAUGAGUGCUAAAAGUGGGUUGUUUUAUAUCUGCUUUGUAGCUAACGCGUUAAGCACUCCGCCUGGGGACUACGGUCGCAAGACUAAAACUCAAAGGAAUUGACGGGGAUCCGCACAAGCGGUGGAGUAUGUGGUUUAAUUCGAUGCAACGCGAAGAACCUUACCACACCUUGACAUGCAAAUUAUACCUCUCCGAAAGGAGAGGGUCAGUUCGGCUGGAUUUGACACAGGUGUUGCAUGGCUGUCGUCAGCUCGUGCCGUGAGGUGUUGGGUUAAGUCCCGCAACGAGCGCAACCCCCAUCCUUAGUUGCCAGCGGUUCGGCCGGGAACUUUAAGGAAACUGCCAGUGACAAACUGGAGGAAGGUGGGGAUGACGUCAAGUCAUCAUGGCCCAUAUGGUGUGGGCUACACACGUACUACAAUGGUGGUCACAACGAGUUUAGCUAUGUCGCAAGGCGGUGCAAAUCUCUUAAAAGCACCCCAGUACAGAUUGCCCU
This 514-nucleotide ribosomal RNA is filed under the name uncultured bacterium. RNAcentral describes it as "bacterial SSU rRNA". It matches the Rfam family "Bacterial small subunit ribosomal RNA", at positions 791 to 1304 of the family's 1533-position model. The record is from RNAcentral.